This 73-nucleotide transfer RNA is filed under the name Candidatus Coatesiibacteriota bacterium. RNAcentral's name for it is "Candidatus Coatesbacteria bacterium tRNA-Thr". It matches the Rfam family "tRNA". Rfam says of the family: Transfer RNA (tRNA) molecules are approximately 80 nucleotides in length. Their secondary structure includes four short double-helical elements and three loops (D, anti-codon, and T loops). Lineage: Bacteria; Candidatus Coatesiibacteriota. The record is from RNAcentral.
GCUGGUGUAGCUCAGCUGGCAGAGCAGCGCACUCGUAAUGCGCAGGUCAUCGGUUCAAUUCCGAUCACCAGCU